GAUGAACGCUAGCUACAGGCUUAACACAUGCAAGUCGAGGGGUAACGAGAGGAAAGCUUGCUUUCCUUGUCGCCGACCGGCGCACGGGUGAGUAACGCGUAUCCAACCUGCCCCCAACUAGGGAAUAACCUUGCGAAAGUAAGACUAAUACCCUAUAAUUUCCUCAGAUGUCAUCUGACGAGGAAUAAAGAUUUAUCGGUUGUGGAUGGGGAUGCGUCUGAUUAGCUUGUUGGCGGGGUAACGGCCCACCAAGGCAACGAUCAGUAGGGGUUCGGAGAGGAAGGGACCCCACAUUGGAACUGAGACGCGGGCCAAACUCCUACGGGAGGCAGCAGUGAGGAUUAUUGGGCAAUGGGCGGAAGCCUGAACCAGCCAAGUAGCGUGCAGGAUGACGGCCCUAUGGGUUGUAAACUGCUUUUAUACAUGAAUAAAGUUAGCCACGUGUGGUUAUUUGUAGGUACUGUAUGAAUAAGGACCGGCUAAUUCCGUGCCAGCCGCCGCAGUAA
This 506-nucleotide ribosomal RNA is filed under the name uncultured bacterium. Its description in RNAcentral is "partial 16S ribosomal RNA". It matches the Rfam family "Bacterial small subunit ribosomal RNA", at positions 28 to 523 of the family's 1533-position model. The record is from RNAcentral.